This 368-nucleotide ribosomal RNA is filed under the name Alciopidae sp. USNM IZ 1448996. RNAcentral's name for it is "SSU rRNA". It matches the Rfam family "Eukaryotic small subunit ribosomal RNA", at positions 51 to 414 of the family's 1831-position model. Lineage: Eukaryota; Metazoa; Annelida; Polychaeta; Phyllodocida; Alciopidae. The record is from RNAcentral. RNAcentral also lists the same sequence under 2 other names.
AUGCAUGUCUAAGUACAAACUUUUACAUAGUGAAACCGCGAAUGGCUCAUUAAAUCAGUUAUGGUUCCUUAGAUCGUACAAUCCUACUUGGAUAACUGUGGCAAUUCUAGAGCUAAUACAUGCAAAUCAGCUCCGACCUCCGGGGAAGAGCGCUUUUAUUAGAUCAAGACCAAUACGGGCUCUGCCCGUACCCUUUGGUGACUCUGGAUAACUUUGUGCUGAUCGCAUGGCCUUGCGCCGGCGACGUAUCUUUCAAAUGUCUGCCCUAUCAACUGUCGAUGGUACGUGCUAUGCCUACCAUGGUUUUUACGGGUAACGGAGAAUCAGGGUUCGAUUCCGGAGAGGGAGCAUGAGAAACGGCUACCACA